AUACGUAGGGAGCGAGCGUUGUCCGGAAUUACUGGGUGUAAAGGGAGCGUAGGCGGGACUGCAAGUCAGAUGUGAAAUACCGGGGCUUAACCCCGGAGCUGCAUUUGAAGCUGGGGUUCUUGAGUGAAGUAGAGGCAAGCGGAAUUCCUGGUGUAGAGGUGAAAUGCGUAGAUAUCAGGAGGAACACCGGUGGCGAAGGCGGCUUGCUGGGCUUUUACUGACGCUGAGGCUCGAAAGCGUGGGUAGCAAACAGGAUUAGAUACCCUGGUAGUCCACGCUGUAAACGAUGAUUACUAGGUGUGGGGGGACUGACCCCUUCCGUGCCGCAGUUAACACAAUAAGUAAUCCACCUGGGGAGUACGGCCGCAAGGUUGAAACUCAAAUGAAUUGACGGGG
RNAcentral lists this ribosomal RNA (396 nucleotides) under uncultured bacterium. RNAcentral describes it as "partial 16S ribosomal RNA". It matches the Rfam family "Bacterial small subunit ribosomal RNA", at positions 523 to 918 of the family's 1533-position model. The record is from RNAcentral.